This 67-nucleotide transfer RNA is filed under the name Laemonema longipes (longfin codling). Its description in RNAcentral is "tRNA-PRO". Lineage: Eukaryota; Metazoa; Chordata; Actinopteri; Gadiformes; Moridae. The record is from RNAcentral.
AGAAGGAAGACUUUAACUUCCAUCUCCGGCCCCCAAAGCCAGAAUUUUAACAUUAAACUAUUCUUUG